AUUGAACGCUGGCGGCAUGCCUUACACAUGCAAGUCGAACGGUAACAGGUCUUCGGAUGCUGACGAGUGGCGAACGGGUGAGUAAUACAUCGGAACGUGCCCAGUCGUGGGGGAUAACGAAGCGAAAGCUUUGCUAAUACCGCAUACGAUCUACGGAUGAAAGCGGGGGAUCGCAAGACCUCGCGCGAUUGGAGCGGCCGAUGGCAGAUUAGGUAGUUGGUGGGGUAAAGGCUUACCAAGCCUACGAUCUGUAGCUGGUCUGAGAGGACGACCAGCCACACUGGGACUGAGACACGGCCCAGACUCCUACGGGAGGCAGCAGUGGGGAAUUUUGGACAAUGGGCGCAAGCCUGAUUCAGCAAUGCCGCGUGCAGGAUGAAGGCCUUCGGGUUGUAAACUGCUUUUGUACGGAACGAAAAGCUCUGGGUUAAUACCCUGGGGUCAUGACGGUACCGUAAGAAUAAGCACCGGCUAACUACGUGCCAGCCGCUGCCGUAA
RNAcentral lists this ribosomal RNA (498 nucleotides) under uncultured bacterium. Its description in RNAcentral is "partial 16S ribosomal RNA". It matches the Rfam family "Bacterial small subunit ribosomal RNA", at positions 30 to 523 of the family's 1533-position model. The record is from RNAcentral.